UUAAAUUGAAGAGUUUGAUCAUGGCUCAGAUUGAACGCUGGCGGCAGGCCUAACACAUGCAAGUCGAACGGUAACAGGAAGCAGCUUGCUGCUUCGCUGACGAGUGGCGGACGGGUGAGUAAUGUCUGGGAAGCUGCCUGAUGGAGGGGGAUAACUACUGGAAACGGUAGCUAAUACCGCAUAACGUCGCAAGACCAAAGAGGGGGACCUUCGGGCCUCUUGCCAUCGGAUGUGCCCAGAUGGGAUUAGCUAGUAGGUGGGGUAACGGCUCACCUAGGCGACGAUCCCUAGCUGGUCUGAGAGGAUGACCAGCCACACUGGAACUGAGACACGGUCCAGACUCCUACGGGAGGCAGCAGUGGGGAAUAUUGCACAAUGGGCGCAAGCCUGAUGCAGCCAUGCCGCGUGUAUGAAGAAGGCCUUCGGGUUGUAAAGUACUUUCAGCGGGGAGGAAGGGAGUAAAGUUAAUACCUUUGCUCAUUGACGUUACCCGCAGAAGAAGCACCGGCUAACUCCGUGCCAGCAGCCGCGGUAAUACGGAGGGUGCAAGCGUUAAUCGGAAUUACUGGGCGUAAAGCGCACGCAGGCGGUUUGUUAAGUCAGAUGUGAAAUCCCCGGGCUCAACCUGGGAACUGCAUCUGAUACUGGCAAGCUUGAGUCUCGUAGAGGGGGGUAGAAUUCCAGGUGUAGCGGUGAAAUGCGUAGAGAUCUGGAGGAAUACCGGUGGCGAAGGCGGCCCCCUGGACGAAGACUGACGCUCAGGUGCGAAAGCGUGGGGAGCAAACAGGAUUAGAUACCCUGGUAGUCCACGCCGUAAACGAUGUCGACUUGGAGGUUGUGCCCUUGAGGCGUGGCUUCCGGAGCUAACGCGUUAAGUCGACCGCCUGGGGAGUACGGCCGCAAGGUUAAAACUCAAAUGAAUUGACGGGGGCCCGCACAAGCGGUGGAGCAUGUGGUUUAAUUCGAUGCAACGCGAAGAACCUUACCUGGUCUUGACAUCCACAGAACUUUCCAGAGAUGGAUUGGUGCCUUCGGGAACUGUGAGACAGGUGCUGCAUGGCUGUCGUCAGCUCGUGUUGUGAAAUGUUGGGUUAAGUCCCGCAACGAGCGCAACCCUUAUCCUUUGUUGCCAGCGGUCCGGCCGGGAACUCAAAGGAGACUGCCAGUGAUAAACUGGAGGAAGGUGGGGAUGACGUCAAGUCAUCAUGGCCCUUACGACCAGGGCUACACACGUGCUACAAUGGCGCAUACAAAGAGAAGCGACCUCGCGAGAGCAAGCGGACCUCAUAAAGUGCGUCGUAGUCCGGAUUGGAGUCUGCAACUCGACUCCAUGAAGUCGGAAUCGCUAGUAAUCGUGGAUCAGAAUGCCACGGUGAAUACGUUCCCGGGCCUUGUACACACCGCCCGUCACACCAUGGGAGUGGGUUGCAAAAGAAGUAGGUAGCUUAACCUUCGGGAGGGCGCUUACCACUUUGUGAUUCAUGACUGGGGUGAAGUCGUAACAAGGUAACCGUAGGGGAACCUGCGGUUGGAUCACCUCCUUACCUUAAAGAAGC
This 1556-nucleotide ribosomal RNA is filed under the name Escherichia coli. RNAcentral's name for it is "bacterial SSU rRNA". It matches the Rfam family "Bacterial small subunit ribosomal RNA". Lineage: Bacteria; Pseudomonadati; Pseudomonadota; Gammaproteobacteria; Enterobacterales; Enterobacteriaceae. The record is from RNAcentral.